Molecule: long non-coding RNA, 499 nt
Filed under: Mytilus galloprovincialis (Mediterranean mussel)
Lineage: Eukaryota; Metazoa; Mollusca; Bivalvia; Mytilida; Mytilidae
Source: RNAcentral
UUCAAGUUUUCGUACAUGGCUUAAAGCCUUAUCGGAUAAAUGUUUUUUGUCAUAUUGAAAUUUCCCGUUUUAGUAACAACAAUUCCCAAAUAGUUAUAUUGUUUUAUCAUCUCAAUGUUAGUAUCAUUGUAAGAAAAUCGGAGAUUUUUUGGCUUCCGUCCAAAAAAAAACCUCACUAAGACUUUAAUUUUGACAACUUUCCUUUCAAGUUCCAAGCCUUACAAUAAUCAUGGAAAGCAUUGAGUUGAGUCUGCAGGUCCUGUGCUGUUUCAGCCAACAACACCGUGUCAUCUGCAAACAAUAUAACAAAACACUUAAGAUAUAUUUCUAAUUCUCUUUCCAGAUCUUCUGGUAUAGUUCUGUUAAGUCAUGUAAUAUUUCUAGUCACUAAGAAAUUAUUUUAGUCAAUCAAAAGUAAAUAAAAUAGGAAAGGUGAUAAGUUUUCUCCUUGUCGAACACCAUUGUCACAAGCAAGCAAAGUAUUCCGAAUUAUAAUUAC